GAAACGAGCUUGCAUGAGAGCAUCCCAGGACCACUGAACAUUCAGAGGGCUGGAGGCAGAGAAAAACUUCCCCUACUCAAGAAAAAGAAGCUAUUUUUGUCAAGUUAAAUGAGCCUGAACCUGCAGAGCUGAAUUGGCAGAUGAAUAUUGCUAAUUGGUGCAGUUUCUUCGGUGCAGGAAAGAGUUUCCAAUCAGACCGGCAAUUCAUUGGCCACAUGAAGAUGCUGUGCUAGGGCCUGGGCAAAGCCAGACAAGAAGUGGUUCCUGCUAUCAGGCUGACUAACAUCUAUCAGAAAGAACAGAUCACGCAAAAUGACAUGAAUGACUGAAAAAGCAUGUGGAGCACAAGACUCAAGAACUAAGUGAAAGGACUCACACUUCCUGAUUUCAAGUAAAGCUACAGCAAUCAAGACGUGGCAUUGAUGUAAGAAUAGACACAUCAAUGAAUGAAACAGAAUACAUCUUCCAGAAAUAAAUUCACACAAAUAUAGUCAAGAGGUUUUUUGUGUGCUAAAGUGUAUAUAAUAUUUACCAUUUUAACCAUUUUUAAGUGCACAGUUCAGAAGCAUUAAGAAUAAACAAUGUUGUAUAACCAUCACCAUUAUCCAGUUCCAGAAUUUUUCAUCACCUCACACAGAAACUCUGUACCUAUUAUCAACAAUAAAUUUUCAUUCCCCCCUUGCCCUCAGUCUCUGGUAACCACUAUUGAACUUUCUGUUUCUAUGAAUUUGCCCCUUCUCAGUGCCUAAUAUGAGUGGAAUAAUACAAUAUGGGUCCUUUGUGCCUAGUUUAUUUCACUUACUGUAAUGUUUUCAAGGUUCAUCCAUGUUAUAAUAUGGAUCAGAAUUUUAUUUCUUUUCAAGCAUGAAUAAUAGUCCAUGGUA
Long non-coding RNA from Homo sapiens (human), 884 nucleotides. Ensembl annotates it as long intergenic non-protein coding RNA 836. Lineage: Eukaryota; Metazoa; Chordata; Mammalia; Primates; Hominidae. The record is from Ensembl.